RNAcentral lists this long non-coding RNA (880 nucleotides) under Danio rerio (zebrafish). RNAcentral's name for it is "lncRNA si:ch211-225l7.1 (ENSDARG00000098100.2)". Lineage: Eukaryota; Metazoa; Chordata; Actinopteri; Cypriniformes; Danionidae. The record is from RNAcentral.
GAAAUCUUUCUGGUCUGUUUUAUAGUGCUUUGAUUGGUUCACAGAAGAUUCAUGUUGUUGUUCUUGUAGGCGGCUCAUCAUGGAGACGGUUCUGCUGUUGCUGCUCCUCACAGCUCUGACGCCCACAGUGUCCUCCCAGUCGUACACCUUCUACUUUGUUGCUGAGAACAUGAGCUGGUCGAAUGCUCAGACGUACUGCAGACAGCAUUAUAUUGAUCUGGCCUCCGUCCUUGACUACGCUGACGUAGAAGAGGCACUGGGAUCCAUAGAUCCGGAUUACUAUGCAAACGUGUGGAUCGGACUGUAUCGGCAUGGUCCCACUGAUCCCUGGCUCUGGUCGGACAGCGGCACGUCCACAUUUAUACCGUGGGGUCCAGGACAGCCAAACAACUACGCCAACAGUCAGUACUGUGUGGAACUGGAACGCAACUGGGUACUGAAUGAUCUGAACUGCAACACUAAACUGAGUUUUGUCUGCUACAAAGAGCGCAGCAAACAGACGGCAAAACUGACAGUCAAAUCCAGUCAAAAUCUGACUGAUCCGGCUGUGAAGACGCAGAUUCUCCAGAAGAUUGAGCAGGUGAUGAAGGAGAAAGGAUUAAUUAAUUAUCUUAAACUUGCCUGGAAAACCCAAUCUGAUGGAGACGUCUUUCAGAAGAGCCCGCAGAAAGGAGACACUCCACACAUCUGCUCCUGAGGAAACUACAAAACCAGUUGCAUUGAUUUACUGUGGCCAGAUUAAAAUACAGUAAGAAAUAAUGAACGCGUUUUGACGUAAUUAUGCGAUUUGGCAUUGAUCUAUGUUUGAUAUGUUUACUGAAGUGUAGCACAGCUGUGUUCAAGUUCAACAUAUUUAAAGGAAAAUAAAUGUACAAGGUGC